UACGUAGGGCGCAAGCGUUGUCCGGAAUUAUUGGGCGUAAAGAGCUCGUAGGCGGUUUGUCGCGUCUGCUGUUGAAAAGCCCGGGGCUCAACCCCGGGUCUGCAGUGGGUACGGGCAGACUAGAGUGCAGUAGGGGAGACUGGAAUUCCUGGUGUAGCGGUGAAAUGCGCAGAUAUCAGGAGGAACACCGAUGGCGAAGGCAGGUCUCUGGGCUGUUACUGACGCUGAGGAGCGAAAGCAUGGGGAGCGAACAGGAUUAAUACCCGGGGUAGUCC
RNAcentral lists this ribosomal RNA (275 nucleotides) under uncultured bacterium. RNAcentral describes it as "partial 16S ribosomal RNA". It matches the Rfam family "Bacterial small subunit ribosomal RNA", at positions 524 to 796 of the family's 1533-position model. The record is from RNAcentral.